AGCGGGGUAGAGCAGCCCGGUAGCUCGUCGGGCCCAUAACCCGAAGGUCGCCGGUUCAAAUCCGGCCCCCGCAACCA
This 77-nucleotide transfer RNA is filed under the name Patescibacteria group bacterium. Its description in RNAcentral is "tRNA-Met". It matches the Rfam family "tRNA". From Rfam's summary of the family: Transfer RNA (tRNA) molecules are approximately 80 nucleotides in length. Their secondary structure includes four short double-helical elements and three loops (D, anti-codon, and T loops). The record is from RNAcentral.